Molecule: transfer RNA, 71 nt
Filed under: Camelus bactrianus (Bactrian camel)
Lineage: Eukaryota; Metazoa; Chordata; Mammalia; Artiodactyla; Camelidae
Also listed under: 2 other names
Rfam family: tRNA
About the family: Transfer RNA (tRNA) molecules are approximately 80 nucleotides in length. Their secondary structure includes four short double-helical elements and three loops (D, anti-codon, and T loops).
Source: Rfam by way of RNAcentral
GGGGAUAUAGCUCAGGGCAGAGUCUGUGCUUACCAUGCACUAGUUCCUGGGUUCGAUUCCCAGUACCUCCA